This 313-nucleotide long non-coding RNA is filed under the name Brassica rapa (field mustard). Its description in RNAcentral is "long non-coding RNA (BRAP_LNC004659)". The record is from RNAcentral. Lineage: Eukaryota; Viridiplantae; Streptophyta; Magnoliopsida; Brassicales; Brassicaceae.
GCCGAGAUGAGUCUGCUGACUACAUGGAGGAGGUUCCAUCUCCUCUUCAGUGCUCGCUAAGGGUGAAGAUGCGAAAAUCUGAUCCAACAAUAUUGAUGAACGUGAUCGGCUCCCAGAUCGUAUCUCUAGGCCAUCAGUACACAAUGGUUUGUUGGGAUCCUAAAGGAUUGAGAACAACUUACAAAAACGCUGCUGCUAUUCUUCCGCUAGGAGGAGGAGAGUUCGUUGUGCUCCGUAUCUUCUCGGGAACUUUGUUCGUGUUAACAAGUGCUAAAAGGAAGUGGGUGCAGCUUCGGGGCGUUCCAAGUUUUCG